Molecule: ribosomal RNA, 945 nt
Filed under: uncultured bacterium
Lineage: Bacteria
Description: bacterial SSU rRNA
Rfam family: Bacterial small subunit ribosomal RNA
Source: RNAcentral
AGAGUUUGAUCAUGGCUCAGAAUCAACGCUGGCGGCGCGCUUAACACAUGCAAGUCGCACGAGAAAGGGGCAACCUGAGUAAAGUGGCGUACGGGUGAGUAACACGUGGGUAAUCUACCUCUUAGUGGGGAAUAACCUGGGGAAACCCGGGCUAAUACCGCAUAAGCUCGAGAGAGGAAAGCAGCAAUGCGCUGAGAGAGGAGCCCGCGGCCGAUUAGCUAGCUGGCAGGGUAAGAGCCUACCAAGGCAGAGAUCGGUAGCCGGCCUGAGAGGGCACACGGCCACACUGGCACUGAAACACGGGCCAGACUCCUACGGGAGGCAGCAGUGGGGAAUCUUGCACAAUGGAGGCAACUCUGAUGCAGCGACGCCGCGUGAGCGAUGAAGCCCUUCGGGGUGUAAAGCUCUUUCGUCAGGGAAGAUGAUGACGGUACCUGGAGAAGCAGCUGCGGCUAACUACGUGCCAGCAGCCGCGGUAAUACGUAGGCAGCGAGCGUUGUUCGGAGUUACUGGGCGUAAAGGGUGUGUAGGCGGUUCUUUAAGUUUGGUGUGAAAUCUCCCGGCUCAACCGGGAGGGUGCGCCGAAUACUGAGGGACUCGAGUGCGGGAGAGGAAAGUGGAAUUCCUGGUGUAGCGGUGAAAUGCGUAGAUAUCAGGAGGAACACCGGUGGUGUAGACGGCUUUCUGGACCGUAACUGACGCUGAAACACGAAAGCGUGGGUAGCAAACAGGAUUAGAUACCCUGGUAGUCCACGCCCUAAACGAUGCAUAUUUGGUGUGGGUCAUUCAGUUGAUCCGUGCCGGAGCUAACGCGUUAAAUAUGCCGCCUGGGGAGUACAGUCGCAAGGCUGAACUCAAAGGAAUUGACGGGGGCCCGCACAAGCGGUGGAGCAUGUGGUUCAAUUCGACGCAACGCGAAGAACCUUACCUGGGCUCGAACGGGUA